ACCGUGAGGUAUGGGCGAGAAGAAGGGAUAGCAAAAUCGUAGCCUGACGAACAGAAACCUAAUACCAAGGCUUGUAUAGCGGAUAAGCGGGCCAUAAGCCGUGAAAUCCAAAAGGCAACCGUAACCUAUGCAGGUAGAUUAGGCAGGUAGACGAGGAAAGAC
RNAcentral lists this non-coding RNA (162 nucleotides) under pig gut metagenome. The record is from RNAcentral.